AAGACUAUACUCUUAGGGAUCAUUUCUAUAGUUCUUUUCUAGAGAAAUGGGUUCUGGAGUGUUUGGUCUCACAAACCACAAGGAGGAUUUAUAGUGUUCUCCUCUGAGCAGGAAGUAGGCUUUGAGUGUUGCUUUUAAGCAGCUGCUCUUUGCCAUUGAUGAAUGUUCUGCCUCUUUUUUAUAGAGAGCUGGAUGAGGUGAAUGCAAUCUGAGUGGC
Molecule: small nucleolar RNA, 217 nt
Organism: Hemiscyllium ocellatum (epaulette shark)
Lineage: Eukaryota; Metazoa; Chordata; Chondrichthyes; Orectolobiformes; Hemiscylliidae
Product: small nucleolar RNA U3
Exons: 1
Source: RefSeq, a predicted model, not a curated record